RNAcentral lists this long non-coding RNA (705 nucleotides) under Lepisosteus oculatus (spotted gar). RNAcentral describes it as "lncRNA (ENSLOCG00000021936.1)". Lineage: Eukaryota; Metazoa; Chordata; Actinopteri; Semionotiformes; Lepisosteidae. The record is from RNAcentral.
UGUUUGGCAGUUUCAACUCCGAUGCGUGUACAAUCCUUGCCCUCGCAUGGAAGGAAGCUGGACGGAGACUACAAAAGAACAGAAGAAGCCAAGUGAUGCUGGUGACAGACCAAUCAGCUUUCAGUGGCGUCGGUGGACAAGAAGGUGGCUCUGCUCCCUCUGGAACCAGAAUUUCCAAACUGUCCCCAGUGAGUCGACAGGUAACCCAUUGCUUUGGAUGACACAUGAAGCUGGGUCUUCUCAGAUCCUGUGCCACUGUUCAUUAGAACAGGGGUGUUGACCCCAGUGUCCAGGCUAAAUUCCACUUUGAACUUGCAAAAGCUGAUACCUACAUCUUUCCUUUAAUUCAAUUGGCGAAAUACCUGCUCUCUUCUGGGGUUGCUGUUACAUAAUGGCAGCAGCGUGGGCACUGAGCUUCAGUCAGUCCCCGCCCGUCUAUAGAGCUCAUUGUGAAGCUUUGGGAUGAAAAAGCUCUAUACAGAUGAAGGGAAUUAUUAAGUUAUUAUUAACAAUGGAAUAAUUAGAUGGCGCAUGUUAACUCAUAAGCUUAUUAACAUUUACAUCCCCAAUUUAAAUAAAAGUAUGCUCCUGCAGUAUUUGUUUACUACUUAGUCCUAUGAAUGCAAACAUAAUCAAAUAUUAAAGAAAUAUCUAAAUAGUCAAAUAUGAAAAUAUUAACAGCAACUGUUCUACAGUAUAUGUAAG